RNAcentral lists this ribosomal RNA (253 nucleotides) under uncultured bacterium. Its description in RNAcentral is "partial 16S ribosomal RNA". It matches the Rfam family "Bacterial small subunit ribosomal RNA", at positions 524 to 776 of the family's 1533-position model. The record is from RNAcentral.
UACGUAGGGGGCAAGCGUUGUCCGGAAUUAUUGGGCGUAAAGCGCGCGCAGGCGGUUUCUUAAGUCUGGGGUUUAAGUUCGGGGCUCAACCCCGUAUCGCCCUGGAAACUGGGAGGCUUCGAGUGCAGGAGAGGAAAGUGGAAUUCCACGUGUAGCGGUGAAAUGCGUAGAGAUGUGGAGGAACACCAGUGGCGAAGGCGACUUUCUGGCCUGUAACUGACGCUGAGGCGCGAAAGCGUGGGGAGCAAACAGG